This 512-nucleotide ribosomal RNA is filed under the name uncultured bacterium. RNAcentral describes it as "bacterial SSU rRNA". It matches the Rfam family "Bacterial small subunit ribosomal RNA", at positions 36 to 518 of the family's 1533-position model. The record is from RNAcentral.
CUGGUAGCGUGGAUUAGGCAUGCAAGUCGAACGGGAUCAUCUGGAUAGCAAUAUUCGGGUAGUGAGAGUGGCGGAUUGGGGAGGAACACGUGAGCAACCUGCCCUGAGUUGGGGAAAACCGUUGGAAACGACGGCUAAUACCGGGAUGUGGCGCCUAGACGGCAUCGUCGGAGCGCUAAAGGGGGGCCGCAAGGCUCUCGCUCGAGGAGGGGCUCGCGCACCAUCAGCUAGUUGGCGGGGUAACGGCCCACCAAGGGCUUACGGUUAGCUGGUCUGAGAGGAUGACCAGCCCCACUGGGACUGAGAUACUGCCCAGACUCCUACGGGAGGCUGGCAGUCGAGGAUCAUUUGCAAUGGGCGAAAGCCUGACAAUGCGACGCUGCGUGGAGGAUGAAAAGGGCCUUCGGGGUCGUAAACUUCUGUCAUGAGGGAACAGGCGAGGAUACCCAACACGUAUCUUAGUUGAGUGUACUUCAAGAGGAAGGGGCGGCUAACUCUGUGCCAGCAGCGGC